Molecule: ribosomal RNA, 316 nt
Filed under: uncultured archaeon
Lineage: Archaea
Description: bacterial SSU rRNA
Rfam family: Archaeal small subunit ribosomal RNA
Source: RNAcentral
UUAAGUCAGGCAACAAGCGAGAUCCCUGCCCUUAGUUGCGAGAGUUAUUCUCAGGGACAGCUCAGCUAACUAGGGGGACCGCCACUGCUGAAGUGGAGGAAGGAGGGGGCCACGGCAGGUCAGUAUGCCCCGAAACCCUAGGGCUACACGCGGGCUGCAAUGGUAGUGACAACGGGUUCCGAACUUGAAAGAGAGAGGCAAUCCCUAAACACUACCACAGUUAUGACUGAGGGCUGCAACUCGCCCUCACGAAUAUGGAAUCCCUAGUAACCGCGCGUCACAACCGCGCAGUGAAUACGUCCCUGCUCCUUGCACA